RNAcentral lists this ribosomal RNA (450 nucleotides) under uncultured bacterium. Its description in RNAcentral is "partial 16S ribosomal RNA". It matches the Rfam family "Bacterial small subunit ribosomal RNA", at positions 354 to 796 of the family's 1533-position model. The record is from RNAcentral.
GUGGGGAAUAUUGGACAAUGGGCGAAAGCCUGAUCCAGCCAUGCCGCGUGUGUGAAGAAGGUCUUCGGAUUGUAAAGCACUUUAAGCGAGGAGGAAGGUUCGUCACCUAAUACGUGACGGAAUUGACGUUACUCGCAGAAUAAGCACCGGCUAACUCUGUGCCAGCAGCCGCGGUAAUACAGAGGGUGCAAGCGUUAAUCGGAAUUACUGGGCGUAAAGCGCGCGUAGGUGGUUUUGUAAGUUGGAGGUGAAAUCCCCGGGCUCAACCUGGGAACUACAUCCUAAACUGCAUGACUAAAGUACGGUAGCGGGUAGUGGAAUUUCCUGUGUAGCGGUGAAAUGCGUAGAUAUAGGAAGGAACACCAGUGGCGAAGGCGACUACCUGGACUGAUACUGACACUGAGGUGCGAAAGCGUGGGGAGCAAACAGGAUUAGAUACCCGUGUAGUCC